AGUGCACGCUGGCGGUAGGCCUAACACAUGCAAGUCGAACGGCAGCACAGUAAGAGCUUGCUCUUACGGGUGGCGAGUGGCGGACGGGUGAGGAAUACAUCGGAAUCUACUUUUUCGUGGGGGAUAACGUAGGGAAACUUACGCUAAUACCGCAUACGACCUACGGGUGAAAGCAGGGGAUCUUCGGACCUUGCGCGAUUGAAUGAGCCGAUGUCGGAUUAGCUAGUUGGCGGGGUAAAGGCCCACCAAGGCGACGAUCCGUAGCUGGUCUGAGAGGAUGAUCAGCCACACUGGAACUGAGACACGGUCCAGACUCCUACGGGAGGCAGCAGUGGGGAAUAUUGGACAAUGGGCGCAAGCCUGAUCCAGCCAUACCGCGUGGGUGAAGAAGGCCUUCGGGUUGUAAAGCCCUUCUGUUGGGAAAGAAAAGCAGCAGGUUAAUACCCCGCUGUUCUGACGGUACCCAAAGAAUAAGCACCGGCUAACUUCGUG
RNAcentral lists this ribosomal RNA (492 nucleotides) under uncultured bacterium. RNAcentral's name for it is "partial 16S ribosomal RNA". It matches the Rfam family "Bacterial small subunit ribosomal RNA", at positions 29 to 507 of the family's 1533-position model. The record is from RNAcentral.